Molecule: ribosomal RNA, 443 nt
Filed under: uncultured bacterium
Lineage: Bacteria
Description: partial 16S ribosomal RNA
Rfam family: Bacterial small subunit ribosomal RNA
Source: RNAcentral
CCUACGGGUGGCAGCAGUGGGGAAUAUUGCACAAUGGGGGCAAGCCUGACGCAGCGACGCCGCGUGAAUGAAGAAGGACCUCGGGAUGUAAAGUUCUAUUAUCAAGGACGAAACAAAUGACGGUACAUGAUGAAUAAGCCACGGCUAACUACGUGCCAGCAGCCGCGGUAAGACGUAGGUGGCAAGCGUUAGCCGGAUUUACUGGGUGUAAAGGGAGUGUAGGCGGGACUGCAAGGCAGAUGUGAAAAGCAUGGGCUCAACCCAUGGACUGCAUUUGAAACUGUGGUUCUUGAGUGGAGGAGAGGUAGGCGGAAUUCCGUGUGUAGCGGUGAAAUGCGUAGAUAUAAGGAGGAACACCAGUGGUGAAGGCGGCCUGCUGGACAAUAACUGACGCUGAGGCGCGAAAGCGUGGGGAGCAAACAGGAUUAGAUACCCCGGUAGUC